RNAcentral lists this ribosomal RNA (460 nucleotides) under uncultured bacterium. RNAcentral describes it as "partial 16S ribosomal RNA". It matches the Rfam family "Bacterial small subunit ribosomal RNA", at positions 338 to 795 of the family's 1533-position model. The record is from RNAcentral.
CCUACGGGAGGCAGCAGUGAGGAAUAUUGGUCAAUGGACGAGAGUCUGAACCAGCCAAGUAGCGUGAAGGAUGACUGCCCUAUGGGUUGUAAACUUCUUUUAUAUGGGAAUAAAAUGUUCCACGUGUGGGAUUUUGUAUGUACCAUAUGAAUAAGGAUCGGCUAACUCCGUGCCAGCAGCCGCGGUAAUACGUAGGAUCCGAGCGUUAUCCGGAUUUAUUGGGUUUAAAGGGAGCGUAGGUGGAUUGUUAAGUCAGUUGUGAAAGUUUGCGGCUCAACCGUAAAAUUGCAGUUGAAACUGGCAGUCUUGAGUACAGUAGAGGUGGGCGGAAUGCGUGGUGUAGCGGUGAAAUGCUUAGAUAUCACGAAGAACUCCGAUUGCGAAGGCAGUUCACUGGACUGCAACUGACACUGAGGCUCGAAAGUGUGGGUAUCAAACAGGAUUAGAUACCCCAGUAGUC